UUAGGCAAAUCCGUUGUACAAUCCGAAGACGUGAUGUGGAGCGAAAUAAAGUAGUGAAGCGUGUGAGCCAUGUGCCGAGAAAAGCUGCUAUUGUGUAAUGCGUGCCCGUACCGUAAACCGACACAGGUGGAUGAGGAGAGAAUCCUAAGGCCGACGGAAGAAGCAUUGUUAAGGAAUUCGGCAAAAUGACCCCGUAACUUCGGGAGAAGGGGUGCCUGCGAGAGCAGGCCGCAGAGAAUAGGCUCAAGCAACUGUUUAGCAAAAACACAGGUCUAUGCGAAACCGAAAGGUGAAGUAUAUGGGCUGACGCCUGCCCGGUGCUGGAAGGUUAAGAGGAGAGGUUAGCGUAAGCGAAGCCUUGAAUUUAAGCCCCAGUAAACGGCGGCCGUAACAAUAACGGCCCUAAGGUAGCGAGAUUCCUUGUCGGGUAAGUUCCGACCCGCACGAAAGGCGUAAUGAUUUGAGCACUGUCUUGACAAUGCAUCCGGUGAAAUUGAAGUACCAGUGAAGAUGCUGGUUACCCGCGCCAGGACGGAAAGACCCCAUGGAGCUUUACUCCAGUUUGAUACUGGGAUUCGGUACUGCAUGUACAGGAUAGGUGGGAGACGAAGAAGGAUGGACGCCAGUCUGUCCGGAGUCGCUGUUGGGAUACCACCCCUGUAGUACGGGGUUUCUAACCAGUUGCCAUGAACUGGCAAUGGGACAAUGUCAGGCGGGGAGUUUGACUGGGGCGGUCGCCUCCGAAAGGGUAUCGGAGGCGCUCAAAGGUUCCCUCAGAAUGGUUGGAAACCAUUUGAAGAGUGCAAAGGCAGAAGGGAGCUUGACUGCGACACCGACGGGUGGAGCAGGUACGAAAGUAGGGCUUAGUGAUCCGGUGGUAUAAAGUGGGAUUGCCAUCGCUCAACGGAUAAAAGCUACCCUGGGAUAACAGGCUUAUCACUCCCAAGAGUCCACAUCGACGGAGUGGUUUGGCACCUCGAUGUCGGCUCAUCGCAUCCUGGGGCUGUAGCAGGUCCCAAGGGUUGUGCUGUUCGCCCAUUAAAGCGGUACGCGAGCUGGGUUCAGAACGUCGUGAGACAGUUCGGUCCCUAUCCGGCGCGGGCGGAGGAUAUUUGAGAGGAGCUGUCCUUAGUACGAGAGGACCGGGAUGGACGGACCACUGGUGUAUCUGUUGUCGACCAACGGCAUGGCAGAGUAGCCAAGUCUGGAAGGGAUAAACGCUGAAGGCAUCUAAGCGUGAAGCCCCCCUCAAGAUGAGAUAUCCCUCCUUCGGGAGUAAGACCCCUUGAAGACUACAAGGUAGAUAGGGCAGAGGUGGAAGCAUGGCAACAUGUGGAGCUGACUGUUACUAAUAGGUCGAGGGCUUAAC
RNAcentral lists this ribosomal RNA (1369 nucleotides) under metagenome. RNAcentral describes it as "bacterial LSU rRNA". It matches the Rfam family "Bacterial large subunit ribosomal RNA", at positions 1532 to 2925 of the family's 2925-position model. The record is from RNAcentral.